This is a long non-coding RNA of Octopus bimaculoides (California two-spot octopus), 1371 nucleotides long. The record is from RefSeq and is a predicted model, not a curated record. Lineage: Eukaryota; Metazoa; Mollusca; Cephalopoda; Octopoda; Octopodidae.
AAUAUACAGGGAUUAGCAUUGAGUUGCUUCUCCAACAUACUGAAAAUUUAGAAAUAGCAGUCAAAGAACUACUGAUUCUAAACUACAAAUUUUUCUCUAAACGGAUGGCGAUAUUUAUGGCACACAUAGAACAAAAAACCGGAGGGAAAAGCAUAAACAAAACAAGUCUUUAGUUAAUUGGAUACGAUCGUUUCAUGGUUAAGAGAAUGAAAAUUUCUCUAUUCCAAAUCUUCAGUCCAAUAUUCUGAUAAUUUUGAAAGUGUCUCUAAAAAAAUUCACGGUAAUUUAUAUAUAUAUGUAUAUUUAUAAAGUAGUGACCUAGCAGAGUUGUUAGCCCAACAGGCAUAAUGCUUAGUGGCAUUUCGUUCAUCUUUACAUUGUGAGUUCAAAUUUCAGCCCAGGUUGACUUUGCCUUUCAUCCUUUCACAUUUGAUAGAAUAAGUAAAAACUGAGCAGUGGGGGCAAUGUAAUUGACUUAGCCCUCUCCUGAAAUUAUACUAAAGUUACAUUCUUAUGAUGUUUAUCUUUGCCUCAAGACAUAAAAAUGAUGAAGAUCAUGAUGAUGAUCUGUGUCCCUUUCUUUCUUUUGCAGAAAUCUAGCAAGAAAACAUUGUGGAUAUACACAGGAAUAUAUAGAGUUCAAAAAGGAAAUUGAUUACUAUUCCAAAGAUUUUGAUGGCGAAGAUGUCAGAAGAGUUGCAGCGAAACACUUCGUAGAAACUAAGAAAUCUAGCAAGAAAACAUUGUGGAUAUACGACACAAUUUGAAGACUUUAAAAAAGAAGCAAUUGAUGGUUUUAACCGCAUACAAGCCAAGAGAUAUGCAACAAAAUACUUUUUCGACUUUAAGGUUAGUUGAUAUGAUUUAUUUACUGUGCAGUAUAUUGGCAGAGUGAUAAGAGCAUCAUGUAGAAGGCUUAGCGAUAUUUGUCUUGGUUGUCUACAUUCUGAGUUCAAAUAUCAAUGCAGUUAAUUGUACCUUUCCCUUUUUGAAUUUGGUAAUAAUAAUAAUAGCAGUCCAGGAUUGCUAAAACACUUGAUUGGAUGCCUUGUGAUAUCUCAUCCUGCCCUUUCCCUUCUCACAGCCAUACUGUGAAACUGUAUUGGCCUUUGUCUUUUCCUUAGAUAACAUUGUGCUGUAGACAGAGGGAGGCUUCAAUGUACAUGCAACAGCUGGUCUUCUACACAGUUUCCAUCUACCAAAUUUUAUUCACAAGAAAUUGGUCAAACAAUUACUGUGGUAGAAAACACUUGCCCAAGUUGAUGUGCAUUGGGAUUGAAUCAGGAACCAUAUAGCUUCAAAUUAAAUAUCUUUGCCAGCCAUCCACGGCCACUUCUAUUUAAAAUACAGCCAUCCACUUUCACACCCACA